This 462-nucleotide ribosomal RNA is filed under the name Gracilibracon sp. Its description in RNAcentral is "eukaryotic LSU rRNA". Lineage: Eukaryota; Metazoa; Arthropoda; Insecta; Hymenoptera; Braconidae. The record is from RNAcentral.
CCUGAGAAACCCAAAAGAUCGAAUGGAGAGAUUCAUCGUCAGCUCAUUUUGUAUAUAUGCAAGUUGUGAUAUGGGUUACUAUUCUUGUAGUAGUAUUGCUUGUACAUUCUUGUAUAUUUUUGUUUGCAAAAUGUUGUCGGCGUGCACUUCUCUCCUAGUAGAACGUCGCGACCCGUUGAAUUAUUAUAUAUAUAUUAAUCUACGGCCCAGGUGAUAGCUUUUAAUAAAUGGGGUUUAUUCUUUAUUUAUUAAAAAUCCCUGGUGUUACCUGAUUAAAAUUUGGCGGUAUUCGUACGGUAUUAAGCCGCAUAUAUUUAAAAUAUGCGUCCUGUCCAUCACAAGCGAGGUUAGUUUUUCUAAAUACUGACAGUACGGACCUGGUGCCGUCGUUGGUGCUAAUCAGCUGUUAGUUGUAUGGAAUUCUAGGACUGGCUUGUUAUAUUAUUACCGGUCAGCGAUGCU